This 513-nucleotide ribosomal RNA is filed under the name uncultured bacterium. RNAcentral describes it as "partial 16S ribosomal RNA". It matches the Rfam family "Bacterial small subunit ribosomal RNA", at positions 28 to 507 of the family's 1533-position model. The record is from RNAcentral.
GACGAACGCUGGCGGCGUGCUUAACACAUGCAAGUCGAACAAAAAGAGGGAAAGAGCUUGCUCUUUCCGGAAUUGAGUGGCAAACGGGUGAGUAACACGUAAACAACCUGCCUUCAGGAUGGGGACAACAGACGGAAACGACUGCUAAUACCGAAUAAGUUCCAAGGGCCGCAUGGCCCAUGGAAGAAAAGGUGGCCUCUACCUGUAAGCUAUCGCCUGAAGAAGGGUUUGCGUCUGAUUAGCUGGUUGGAGGGGUAACGGCCCACCAAGGCGACGAUCAGUAGCCGGUCUGAGAGGAUGAACGGCCACACUGGAACUGAGACACGGUCCAGACUCCUACGGGAGGCAGCAGUGGGGAAUCUUCCGCAAUGGGCGAAAGCCUGACGGAGCAACGCCGCGUGAGUGAUGACGGCCUUCGGGUUGUAAAACUCUGUGAUCCGGGACGAAAAGGCAGAGUGCGAAGAACAAACUGCAUUGACGGUACCGGAAAAGCAAGCCACGGCUAACUACGUG